Molecule: long non-coding RNA, 677 nt
Organism: Panicum virgatum (switchgrass)
Lineage: Eukaryota; Viridiplantae; Streptophyta; Magnoliopsida; Poales; Poaceae
Exons: 4
Source: RefSeq, a predicted model, not a curated record
GAGCGCAGGAGCCAUCCCGAUCGUUGUGUAUGUAGUUAAAACUGCAUGACCAUCUGCUCACCUAGGAGUCGAGGAGCCAAUGGCCAUAAGCUCGUCUUUUGGGGCGCCGUCUCAGUCCAUGAGGGAGGACAACUACGUCCGGAACAACAUCAAGUUCCUCUCCCACCCAAGGUGGCAUGAAGUUGAAUGAUGCAUGUACUGCUUCUAGUUGUCUUGGCCAGAUGAAAACAUCCUUUUUCUUUUCGAGAAAGUUAUGUUGGGAUCCCAAAGAUAGUGAGUCACCUGGAUGCAUUGCCUAGAACCAGUGCUCAAGUUCACCAUCAGAGCAAUCAUUGAGCACUCUGAUGUCGGUGCAGAUGAUUGUCCAAACAAUUCCAUAUUCCACAAAAUAACUUGGAAUGUUUGUGUAAUCAUUGAAGCUCAUUUGAAGUUCAUCAAUAGUCAUUUAUGCACAAGUCAGUGAAGCUCAUUUGAAGUUCAUCAAUAGUCAUUUAAGCACAAGUCCCUGGCUGGAAAUAAAACUGCAUAUUAGGUGAAUUUAGAGAUAGUAGUUGAUAUGUAUAACUUCAACAGAUUGAGUAUGUGUAUGUGCAAUGUAUAUAUAUGGAUAGAACCUAUGUAUUUGUGACGUAUACAAGAUCUAUUUAAUGUAUUGUUUUCCUUUUUUUGUUUCUUAA